Nannospalax galili (Upper Galilee mountains blind mole rat) is the source of this 950-nucleotide long non-coding RNA. RefSeq lists it as uncharacterized. NCBI's taxonomy places the organism in Eukaryota, Metazoa, Chordata, Mammalia, Rodentia, Spalacidae. The record is from RefSeq and is a predicted model, not a curated record. The transcript has 3 exons.
GGAGGCAGAGGGAGCGGGCGCGGGAAGACAGUGUGGCUGGGCGGCCUGUUCCGGAACUCGCUUUCUUGGGUCCCGCAUCCCGCACAAGCGUCCCGAGGGUCCGGGCGCAGGGGGACUGCGGAUACCGGGCGGUGUGCCCGGGUCCAGCUCCUGCCCAGCCAGGAUGGGCUCGGUCACCUGAAAUUGGUGGAGUUUGCAUCCUUUUUGUUUUGAGGGUCUACUGGGUAUAAGCUUUGGCUGGCCUGCAAAGGACCCUGUGCAGAGCUUCAUAAGGCAGAGGAUGGGGAAAUGAGGGUUUGGAGAUGCCCGAAGUAUGCACUUAACCCGCGUGACAAGUUGGAGCAGUUACUUAGAGCAUAGUAGAAGAUAUAUAUCAAAAAGUUCAAGAUUGAAACACCCAAGAAUGCAGCAUUUACUCUUCAUAGGUGGAGGUGAGAGAUCUGGUUUGAAAACUUCGGAGGAAUGUAUCAUUUCAGUCCUGAAUCUGAAUCAGCUCCCUUACUGGCUUAUUACUGUUUUAAAGUGUUUUUAGGCCGGGUGUGGUGGCACACGCCUUUAAUCCCAGCACUCGGGAGGCAGAGGCAGGGGGAUCUCUGUGAAUUCAAGGCCAGCCUGGUCUACAUAGUGAGUUCCAGGCCAGCUGGGGCUACAGGGAGACCCUGUCUCAAAAAGACCAAAUAAAUAAAUAAAUGAACAGAAGUGUUUUUAAUUAACUGUGGUAUUUGUUUUGGUAAGACCGUUGAGAUUUUACCUUUAAAGUGACCAUCAUAACUUCUGGCAUACAUAAAGUUUUAAUAUUUUAAAACUCACAGUAUGGAUAGCCCAUUUUAAUAUUUAGCUGUAUCAUUUUUAUGGUGUAGAGAAUAUUCUCUGAAUUGCCAGAAUGAGUUAGGGCACUGGAAAAACACCAGGCACUUGCAAUUUAUUUUCAUUCACCCUGUAUUAAUGAC